This 403-nucleotide ribosomal RNA is filed under the name uncultured Fimbriimonas sp. RNAcentral describes it as "bacterial SSU rRNA". It matches the Rfam family "Bacterial small subunit ribosomal RNA", at positions 355 to 774 of the family's 1533-position model. Lineage: Bacteria; Bacillati; Armatimonadota; Fimbriimonadia; Fimbriimonadales; Fimbriimonadaceae. The record is from RNAcentral.
UUGGGAAUCUUGCACAAUGGGGGAAACCCUGAUGCAGCGACGCCGCGUGGAGGAUGAAGGGUUUAGGCCUGUAAACUCCUUUUUUCGGGAAAGACUUAGGACGGUACCCGAAGAAUAAGGACCGGCUAACUACGUGCCAGCAGCCGCGGUAAGACGUAGGGUCCAAGCGUUGUCCGGAUUUACUGGGCGUAAAGAGCGCGUAGGCGGCUCGUUAAGUGUAGAGUGAAAUCUCUGGGCUCACCCCAGAAACUGCUCUGCAUACUGGCGAGCUAGAGGGUCGAAGAGGUAUGUGGAAUUCCUGGUGUAGCGGUGAAAUGCGUUGAUAUCAGGAGGAACACCCAUGGCGAAGGCAGCAUACUGGUCGGCAUCUGACGCUGAGGCGCGAAAGCGUGGGUAGCAAACA